Molecule: ribosomal RNA, 460 nt
Filed under: uncultured bacterium
Lineage: Bacteria
Description: partial 16S ribosomal RNA
Rfam family: Bacterial small subunit ribosomal RNA
Source: RNAcentral
CCUACGGGUGGCAGCAGUGAGGAAUAUUGGUCAAUGGGCGUAAGCCUGAACCAGCCAAGUCGCGUGAGGGAUGAAGGUUCUAUGGAUCGUAAACCUCUUUUAUAAGGGAAUAAAGUGUGGGACGUGUCCUAUAUUGUAUGUACCUUAUGAAUAAGGAUCGGCUAACUCCGUGCCAGCAGCCGCGGUAAUACGGAGGUUCCGAGCGUUAUCCGGAUUUAUUGGGUUUAAAGGGUGCGUAGGCGGCCUUUUAAGUCAGCGGUGAAAGUCUGUGGCUCAACCAGAGAAUUGCCGUUGAAACUGGGGGGCUUGAGUAUAUAUGAGGCAGGCGGAAUGCGAGGUGUAGCGGUGAAAUGCUUAGAUAUCACGCAGAACCCCAAUUGCGAAGGCAGCCUGCUGAGCCAUGACUGACGCUGAUGCACGAAAGCGUGGGGAUCAAACAGGAUUAGAUACCCUUGUAGUC